Molecule: unclassified non-coding RNA, 520 nt
Filed under: uncultured Entrophospora
Lineage: Eukaryota; Fungi; Glomeromycota; Glomeromycetes; Entrophosporales; Entrophosporaceae
Description: SSU rRNA
Rfam family: Eukaryotic small subunit ribosomal RNA
Source: RNAcentral
AGCAGCCGCGGUAAUUCCAGCUCCAAUAGCGUAUAUUAAAGUUGUUGCAGUUAAAAGCUCGUAGUUGAAUUUCGGGAUUGGCGCAUCGGUCGUGCCUCACGGGGUAUGAACUGGUGCAGUCAAUUUCUCACCUUCUGGAGAACCGCGAUGUCCUUAAUUGGAUGCCGCGGGGAACCAGGACCUUUACUUUAGAAAAAUUGAGUGUUUAAAGCAGGCAUUUUUGCUUGAAUACAUUAGCAUGGAAUAAUAAAAUAGGACGGCAUGGUUCUAUUUUGUUGGUUUCUAGGACCACCGUAAUGGUUAAUAGGGAUAGUUGGGGGCAUUAGUAUUCAAUUGUCAGAGGUGAAAUUCUUGGAUUUAUUGAAGACUAACUACUGCGAAAGCAUUUGCCAAGGAUGUUUUCAUUAAUCAAGAACGAAAGUUAGGGAUCGAAGACGAUCAGAUACCGUCGUAGUCUUAACCAUAAACUAUGCCGACUAGGAAUCAGACGAUGUUAAUUUUUAAUGUACUCGUUUGGCUA